GAAUUUUUGGCAAUGGGCGAAAGCCUGACCAAGCAACGCCGCGUGGGUGAUGAAGUCCCUUGGGACGUAAAACCCUUUCGACGGGGACGAAGCCGCAAGGUUGACGGUACCCGUAGAAGAAGCCCCGGCUAACUCCGUGCCAGCAGCCGCGGUAAUACGGGGGGGGCAAGCGUUGUUCGGAAUUACUGGGCGUAAAGGGCGCGUAGGCGGCUUGUUAAGUCGGAUGUGAAAACUCUGGGCUCAACCCAGAGCCUGCAUCCGAAACGGGCGGGCUUGAGUUCUGGAGGGGAAAGCGGAAUUCCUGGUGUAGCGGUGAAAUGCGUAGAUAUCAGGAGGAACACCGGUGGCGAAGGCGGCUUUCUGGACAGAAACUGACGCUGAGGCGCGAAAGCUAGGGGAGCAAACAGG
RNAcentral lists this ribosomal RNA (408 nucleotides) under uncultured bacterium. Its description in RNAcentral is "bacterial SSU rRNA". It matches the Rfam family "Bacterial small subunit ribosomal RNA", at positions 359 to 776 of the family's 1533-position model. The record is from RNAcentral.